This 497-nucleotide ribosomal RNA is filed under the name uncultured bacterium. RNAcentral describes it as "partial 16S ribosomal RNA". It matches the Rfam family "Bacterial small subunit ribosomal RNA", at positions 28 to 507 of the family's 1533-position model. The record is from RNAcentral.
GAUGAACGCUGGCGGCGUGCUUAAUACAUGCAAGUCGAGCGAACGGACGAGAAGCUUGCUUCUCUGACGUUAGCGGAGGACGGGUGAGUAACACGUGGAAAACCUACUUAUAAGACUGGGAAAACUUCGGGAAACCGGAGCAAAUACCGGAGGAUAUCUUGAAGCGCAUGGGUCAAAAGUGAAAGUCGGCCUUGCUGUAACUUCUAGAUGGAUCCCAGCUGCAUUAGCUAGUUGGUACGGUAACGGCUUACCAAGGCAACGAGGCGUAGCCGACCGGAUGGCGUGAUCGGCCACACUAGAGCUUGAACACGGUCCAGGCUCCUACGGGAGGCAGCAGUCGGGAAUCUUCCGCAGUAGUCGAAAGCCUUACGGAGCGGCGCCGCGUGAGUGGUGGAGGUCUUCGGAUCGUGAUGCUCUGUUAUUAGUGAUGAACAUAUGUGUAAGUUACUGUACACAGCUUGACGGUACCUAAUCAGGAAGCCACGGCUAACUACGUG